Molecule: long non-coding RNA, 2541 nt
Organism: Brachypodium distachyon (stiff brome)
Lineage: Eukaryota; Viridiplantae; Streptophyta; Magnoliopsida; Poales; Poaceae
Exons: 2
Source: RefSeq, a predicted model, not a curated record
GAUCUGAUUGGUGCAGUGGGUAUGCCCCGGAUCGGUGACAUGGCAUCCUGGACGCUUCUCUCUCCCCUCCUUAUCUCCUCAACUGAUCAACCCUCUCUCUCCCUCAUCUCCUCUCCCUCACGAUCCUCUUCUGUCCAGAAUCUCUCCUCUCCUCUCUCCCACGAUCUCCCUGCUGCAGCCUCCAUGCACAGCUCUCUCUCCUCUCUCUACUCCCCCUGCCUCCCACUACUCCCACACCUCCCUCUGCUCUCGUGCGCCAUGGCCUCCGUGCCCCGCGCCCACCCGCAUGUCCGCGCUUCCCAGCCCCAUGGACGGGCCUGAUCCGGCCGCCAUGGGCCCGUCGCCGCCGGAUCCGGGCGUCCUUGGCCCCGUCUCCACCGGAUCCGGCCGCCGUUGGGUCUGUCUCCACCCGAUCCAAGCGCCCCUCGGCUUCGCUGCGCGCCGCCGGAACCUAGGCAAGUUCUUUUCUUUUUCUCGGUUUUGCUAUUUCAUUCUCUCACUGUCUCUCUCUCUCUCUGGUGGCCGACCUGCUCCCGGGAGGAAAUGGCAGCGGCCGCCAAGUACAGCUUCGGCCUCGACCCUGGCCUCUCCACCGGUGGAUUUGUUUCUCAAUAAAUAUUCUUUGUAAUCGUUGUGUGUGCUCUGUAAUGCUCCAGAUUUGUUUCUCAAUAAAUAUGCUUUGUAAUCGAAUGUGAAUUUGUUUCUGUGUAUAUGCUCCGCCAUCGUGGCAGCGCAGGUCGUGUGGCCUGCCUUUUUUUUAAUUUGACAAAUUCGUACCAGUGGCGGUGGUUCUGCCCAGCCACUGGAGGAGGCUAGCAGCAGUGGCGGUGGUUUUGCACCCCCACAGGGGGAGGGGGCUAGCAGCAGUGGCGGUGGACAUAGCACCAGUGGCGCAGGUUUAGUGGCGGGCCGGUCCACCGCCACCGGUGCUGAAUUCAGCCCGCCACCGGUAACCAAUUCCGUAGCAGUGCUACAACAGAAUUGAGCUCUAUUGUAAGGUAGGUUAGUUUUGUAUCCAUUCCUCUGAAGUAGCAGAUCUUCACUUGGAUGUGUUUCAAGGGGACAAUUCAGGUUACCGAUGAGCUGCUAAAGAAAUGCUGGUAAGGACCUGAAGGUUGCAGACUCUGGUCAGCCUGAAACUACGGAUCAUAUGCUUUUUACUUGCCCAAUCGCCUUCUUUUGUUGAUGCCAUAUUUGGGAUUGUUUCGGCUGGAGCCGGGCUCUCCUCUUUCUUGGUCUGAUUUCUUUGACAUUGCUUUGAAACUGGGAGGGACAAUUGUGAAUCAUAAAAUGUGGUCGCUGGCGACUGCUGUUGCUUGGUCAUUAUGGCUUACUGGCAACGAAAUGGUCUUCAAUCAGCAUCUGUGUGAUUCUCAUGCAGGUCAUCUUCAAGGCUGUGGCGUUCUUGGGACACCGGAAGAAUCUUCUACCUAAUAGGCGGCAAAUGGUAACUCUGAAUUUGAUUGCCAAACUUCAAACAAACUUGUGGUAUGCAUUGUGAUGUAAGCUGGUCUCCCAAGCAGAAUCUUGUUGGCUUUCUAAUAAAGUCGGGCUGAAAAGCCUCCUUUCCAAAAAACGGGCUUUUUUCGCCCGUGAUUGAUGACUCUCAUCAGUAACGGUCAUACAUCGACCGUCACUAAUGACACUACAUCGUGCCGGACGCGUGCGAGACCGUCAGUGAUGACCGCUUAUCAGUGAGGGUUACUUAUCAGUGAUGGGCGUGGUAUGCUCGUCACUAAUGUCGUCCGUUGCACCAGUGGCAUCCGGGGUAUCACCAUUGCUCAACGCAUAGGUUGCCUCGCUUGCUCCCCGCAAGGACGGCACCUUAUGCAGCACAGUGCGAGUUGCCCGGGAAGCCACCAGCCCGGCAGGUGUCUGGGAAAGGGGUUGCCUUGGAGCAGGACUAGCCGGGCUGCGGAGGUUACCCUGGAUGACAGUGUGAAGAUCCCCUUCAGGACGCCUCCCAGGAAGCUUACUUGUCGGGGAGGGUGUCUCCUGACGCAGACGCUUACAACAGGGCUGAUGCCCACGGCAGACAGAGUAUCGAUGCCACGUGGCCACCCGGCAGGCUCCUUUUGUGCAGAGCUGGUCGGAGUGUGGAGUGUGGCACAAGCCGAGCAUUAAAUGCUCCGACAGGGAAGUGGUUUUCUGUCUAGUCAACCCACAGUGAGUAGCUCGCAGUGAAUCUAGGGCACGUAUCGCCCUAGCUACAGUGUUUUGUAUUGUGCAUGCAUGCCAGCGCAGCAAAGGCAAACUGCCUAGGGUCUUUGUUCGGCGCGUGUCCAAAAGCGCGUCCCCCAUGCAGACGGAGGCACCUGUGGUAUCCCCUUGAGUAUAAAAGGAGGACCAGCGUCACCGGUCAAAGGGUUUCGGUUUUUCUAAGGUUGGACUCUAGCUGGGUGACGAUCCCUAGAGAUUUAGUCCAGAAGCAGUAAGUAGCCAUUUGGCCGAAAGGAAGAGAGUGCCCGGGGACUCCCCCGGCAACCUGUAAACACUUGUUCAUUGGCUAAUACACACUCAGAAGCAGGACGUAGAGUUUUA